Molecule: long non-coding RNA, 1181 nt
Organism: Dermochelys coriacea (leatherback sea turtle)
Lineage: Eukaryota; Metazoa; Chordata; Testudines; Dermochelyidae
Exons: 4
Source: RefSeq, a predicted model, not a curated record
CUUCUUCCCUCCCUUAGCUGAAGGACUCGGAUAUGAUCUUUGGAGGUUCCAAAGAGUGAUGUCAUUCAAAGUUGUAACCAUAUCUGACGCUCUCCUUCCCAAACAACUGAGUUUUAGACAGAGUCCCACACAGCAGAUGCCGCUGCUAAAUGGAAGUGAUGGGAGCUGCAGCUCAGGUUACAGCCCUGUAUGACAUCACAAUUCAGAUCUCUAUUUAAAAAAAAAAAUUGAGGCCAUCUUUGCACAUCACAAAGGAGCAGUGUGAUGGGGUGUUCAGCCUACACAAGCCCCGAAGGGGUUGUAGUGGCUGGGUAGGCCAAUUAACUGCAUUGGCUGUAUCUGGAGGAAGAGCCAGGGAGCAAUGAGGAUUAAUUAAAAAGGAAGCUCAGCUGCACAAGAACAGGAGGGGCCCAGUAGCUGAGAGGAUAAUGGGGCUGCAGAGAGAGAGAGAGAGAGAGAGAGAGACGCUGCAGUCACAGUUACGGUGACAGAUGGCAAGGUAGGAAAUAGCCCAGGGAUACACUGGGAAAUCCACAGUGACCUGACUGGAGGACCAAUCCAUGAAGUGGAAGCAGUUGAGUCCUGAGAGAGCAAGACAGGGAGUGAUGGAGUGCAACCGCAAGAAGAGGCAUCAGCCUGGCAGAGUUAAUCUCCAGAUGUGGUCGGAAGCAGAUGUGCCAGCGUGAGUUCUUGAGAAUGUCAUGAGCGCUCCAAAGAGCAGAAUAUCAGUCAGCUAAUUCAAGCUGCAUAGGUCUAGCAUGAUAAGAGGACAGAUGCUUGACACAGCUACUUGUUUGCAAGGGUGGAUGUUGAGUCUUAAGGCGUCUGUCUGUACAAGUUGUGAUAAGGAACAGACCCUCUGGUUUGGAGUAAAUAAUUUAAAGUAGCUCUUACAUUGAACUGAGGUUGCUUGACUGUGUUUCAGCUAACUUUGUAUAUAAAGUUCAGGAGACUGAACUGAGUGAUGCAAGAAAGCCAGAGGGCACUAGAAGAAAAGCAAAAUGACACCUGGAGACCAAAAAGGCAAUACAUAGAAGACCAAUUCUUGGCUCACGGAUUGGCUCAUGUCCAGCCUCAAACACAAUGUACUAUUACAUCAGCCGCCAAAGAGGAAAGGCCAAAGAUGAAACAGAAAGGAAAAAAGGCAAUUUGGAAUUCCAGAUUUUAAAAAAAAAAAAACA